GACGAACGCUGGCGGCGUGCUUAACACAUGCAAGUCGAACGCUGAAGCUCAGCUUUUGUUGGGUGGAUGAGUGGCGAACGGGUGAGUAACACGUGAGUAACCUGCCCCCUUCUUUGGGAUAACGCCCGGAAACGGGUGCUAAUACUGGAUAUUCACUGGUCUUCGCAUGGGGGUUGGUGGAAAGGGUUUUUCUGGUGGGGGAUGGGCUCGCGGCCUAUCAGCUUGUUGGUGGGGUGAUGGCCUACCAAGGCUUUGACGGGUAGCCGGCCUGAGAGGGUGACCGGUAACAUUGGGACUGAGAUACGGCCCAGACUCCUACGGGAGGCAGCAGUGGGGAAUAUUGCACAAUGGGCGCAAGCCUGAUGCAGCGACGCCGCGUGAGGGAUGGAGGCCUUCGGGUUGUGAACCUCUUUCGCUCAUGGUCAAGCCGCAACAAUGGUUGUGGUGAGGGUAGUGGGUAAAGAAGCGCCGGCUAACUACGUG
This 483-nucleotide ribosomal RNA is filed under the name uncultured bacterium. RNAcentral describes it as "partial 16S ribosomal RNA". It matches the Rfam family "Bacterial small subunit ribosomal RNA", at positions 28 to 507 of the family's 1533-position model. The record is from RNAcentral.